ACAGUGGAUCUCUUGGUUCUCGCAACGAUGAAGAACGCAGCAAAAUGCGAUAAGUAAUGUGAAUUGCAGAAUACGUGAAUCAUCAAAUCUUCGAACGCAUAUUGCACUUUUCUAGUUUACUAGAAAAGUAUGUCUGUUUGAGU
Molecule: ribosomal RNA, 143 nt
Filed under: Orpinomyces sp. KF2
Lineage: Eukaryota; Fungi; Neocallimastigomycota; Neocallimastigomycetes; Neocallimastigales; Neocallimastigaceae
Description: 5.8S ribosomal RNA
Rfam family: 5.8S ribosomal RNA
About the family: 5.8S ribosomal RNA (5.8S rRNA) is a component of the large subunit of the eukaryotic ribosome. It is transcribed by RNA polymerase I as part of the 45S precursor that also contains 18S and 28S rRNA.
Source: RNAcentral